UAGGGAAUCUUCGGCAAUGGACGAAAGUCUGACCGAGCAACGCCGCGUGAGUGAAGAAGGUUUUCGGAUCGUAAAACUCUGUUGUUAGAGAAGAACAAGGACGUUAGUAACUGAACGUCCCCUGACGGUAUCUAACCAGAAAGCCACGGCUAACUACGUGCCAGCAGCCGCGGUAAUACGAAGGUGGCAAGCGUUGUCCGGAUUUAUUGGGCGUAAAGCGAGCGCAGGCGGUUUCUUAAGUCUGAUGUGAAAGCCCCCGGCUCAACCGGGGAGGGUCAUUGGAAACUGGGAGACUUGAGUGCAGAAGAGGAGAGUGGAAUUCCAUGUGUAGCGGUGAAAUGCGUAGAUAUAUGGAGGAACAUCAGUGGCGAAGGCGGCUCUCUGGUCUGUAACUGACGCUGAGGCUCGAAAGCGUGGGGAGCAAACAGG
Molecule: ribosomal RNA, 429 nt
Filed under: Gemmatimonadota bacterium
Lineage: Bacteria; Pseudomonadati; Gemmatimonadota
Description: Gemmatimonadetes bacterium partial 16S ribosomal RNA
Rfam family: Bacterial small subunit ribosomal RNA
Source: RNAcentral